ACGGGUGAGUAACACGUGAGAAUUUACCUUUAGGAGGGGGACAACAACUGGAAACGGUUGCUAAUACCCCAUAUGCUUUCGAGUCAAAUGAAUUUAUUCGCCUAAAGAGAAGCUCGCGGCUGAUUAGCUUGUUGGUAGGGUAAGAGCCUACCAAGGCGACGAUCAGUAUCUGGUUUGAGAGGACGAUCAGACACACUGGAACUGAGACACGGUCCAGACUCCUACGAGAGGCAGCAGUGGGGAAUUUUCCGCAAUGGGCGAAAGCCUGACGGAGCAAUACCGCGUGAGGGAAGACGGCCUAUGGGUUGUAAACCUCUUUUUUCAGGGAGGAAUAAUUGACGUGUACCUGAAGAAUAAGCAUCGGCUAACUCCGUGCCAGCAGCCGCGGUAAGACGGAGGAUGCAAGUGUUAUCCGGAAUCACUGGGCGUAAAGCGUCUGUAGGUUGUUGAACAAGUCAACUGUUAAAUCUUGAGGCUCAACUUCAAAAUCGCAGUCGAAACUGUUUGACUAGAGUAUAGUA
This 521-nucleotide ribosomal RNA is filed under the name uncultured cyanobacterium. Its description in RNAcentral is "bacterial SSU rRNA". It matches the Rfam family "Bacterial small subunit ribosomal RNA", at positions 102 to 653 of the family's 1533-position model. Lineage: Bacteria; Bacillati; Cyanobacteriota. The record is from RNAcentral.